UGGGGAAUAUUGCACAAUGGGGGAAACCCUGAUGCAGCAACGUCGCGUGAGUGAGGAAGUAUUUCGGUAUGUAAAGCUCUAUCAGCAAGGAAGAAAAUGACGGUACUUGACUAAGAAGCCCCGGCUAACUACGUGCCAGCAGCCGCGGUAAUACGUAGGGGGCAAGCGUUAUCCGGAUUUACUGGUUGUAAAGGGAGCGUAGGCGGCAGGGCAAGCCAGAAGUGAAAGCCCGGGGCUUAACCCCGGGACUGCUUUUGGAACUGUCCCGCUAGAGUGUCGGAGAGGUAAGUGGAAUUCCUAGUGUAGCGGUGAAAUGCGUAGAUAUUAGGAGGAACACCAGUGGCGAAGGCGGCUUACUGGACGAUAACUGACGCUGAGGCUCGAAAGCGUGGGGAGCAAACAGGAUUAGAUACCCUGGUA
RNAcentral lists this ribosomal RNA (420 nucleotides) under uncultured bacterium. RNAcentral describes it as "bacterial SSU rRNA". It matches the Rfam family "Bacterial small subunit ribosomal RNA", at positions 355 to 792 of the family's 1533-position model. The record is from RNAcentral.